ACUCCUACGGGAGGCAGCAGUGGGAAUAUUGCACAAUGGGCGCAAGCCUGAUGCAGCAACGCCGCGUGAGGGAUGAAGGCCUUCGGGUUGUAAAACCUCUUUUAGCAGGGAAGAAGCGAAAGUGACGGUACCUGCAGAAAAAGCACCGGGCAACUACGUGCCCAGCAGCCGCGGUAAUACGUAGGUGCAAGCGUUGUCCGGAAUUAUUGGGCGUAAAGAGCUCGUAGGCGGUUUGUCACGUCU
This 243-nucleotide ribosomal RNA is filed under the name uncultured bacterium. RNAcentral's name for it is "partial 16S ribosomal RNA". It matches the Rfam family "Bacterial small subunit ribosomal RNA", at positions 335 to 590 of the family's 1533-position model. The record is from RNAcentral.